Molecule: ribosomal RNA, 468 nt
Filed under: uncultured bacterium
Lineage: Bacteria
Description: partial 16S ribosomal RNA
Rfam family: Bacterial small subunit ribosomal RNA
Source: RNAcentral
GACGAACGCUGGCGGCGUGCUUAACACAUGCAAGUCGAACGGAAAGGCCCUGCUGUUGUGGGGUGCUCGAGUGGCGAACGGGUGAGUAACACGUGAGUAACCUGCCCCUGACUUUGGGAUAACUACAGGAAACUGGGGUUAAUAACGGAUAGGAGCUCCUGCUGCAUGGUGGGGGUUGGAAAGUUUCGGCGGUUGGGGAUGGACGCGCGGCUUAUCAGUUUGUUGGUGGGGGAGUGGGUCACCAAGGCUCUGAGGGGUAGCCCACCUGUGAGGGUGUCCAGCGACAUUGGUACUGAGGGACGGCCCAGUCGGCAAUAGGGGGCAGCAGUGGGAAAUAUUGCGCAAUGAGCGCACGCCUGAGGCAGCAGCGCCGCGUUCGGGAAGACGUCCUUCGGGUGGUAAACCGCUUUAGCCUGUGACGAAGCGUGAGUGACGGUAAUGGGUGAAGAAGCACCGGCUAACUACGUG